AUUGAACGCUGGUGGCAUGCUUAACACAUGCAAGUCGGACGGUAACAGGCGAGUGCUUGCACUUGCGCUGACGAGUGGCGGACGGGUGAGUAAUGCAUAGGAAUCUGUCCUUUCGAGGGGGAUAGCUCUGGGAAACUAGAGGUAAUACCGCGUACAACCUACGGGUUAAAGGUGGCGCAAGCUGUCGCGAAAGGGUGAGCCUAUGUUAGAUUAGCUAGAUGGUGAGGUAAAAGCUCACCAUGGCUACGAUCUAUAGCUGUUCUGAGAGGAAGAUCAGCCACAUUGGGACUGAGACACGGCCCAGACUCCUACGGGAGGCAGCAGUGGGGAAUAUUGGACAAUGGGCGAAAGCCUGAUCCAGCAAUGCCACGUGUGUGAAGAAGGCCUGAGGGUUGUAAAGCACUUUUACAAGUGAGGAAGUUUAUUGGGUGAAUAGCCCAGUAAAUUGACGUUAGCUUGAGAAUAAGCACCGGCAAACUCCG
RNAcentral lists this ribosomal RNA (482 nucleotides) under uncultured Legionellales bacterium. RNAcentral's name for it is "bacterial SSU rRNA". It matches the Rfam family "Bacterial small subunit ribosomal RNA", at positions 30 to 505 of the family's 1533-position model. Lineage: Bacteria; Pseudomonadati; Pseudomonadota; Gammaproteobacteria; Legionellales. The record is from RNAcentral.